This 497-nucleotide ribosomal RNA is filed under the name uncultured bacterium. Its description in RNAcentral is "partial 16S ribosomal RNA". It matches the Rfam family "Bacterial small subunit ribosomal RNA", at positions 28 to 507 of the family's 1533-position model. The record is from RNAcentral.
GAUGAACGCUGGCGGCGUGCCUAAUACAUGCAAGUCGAGCGAACGGACGAGAAGCUUGCUUCUCUGAUGUUAGCGGCGGACGGGUGAGUAACACGUGGAUAACCUACCUAUAAGACUGGGAUAACUUCGGGAAACCGGAGCUAAUACCGGAUGAUAUUUUGAACCGCAUGGUUCAAAAGUGAAAGACGGUCUUGCUGUCACUUAUAGAUGGAUCCGCGCUGCAUUAGCUAGUUGGUAAGGUAACGGCUUACCAAGGCAACGAUGCAUAGCCGACCUGAGAGGGUGAUCGGCCACACUGGAACUGAGACACGGUCCAGACUCCUACGGGAGGCAGCAGUAGGGAAUCUUCCGCAAAGGGCGAAAGCCUGACGGAGCAACGCCGCGUGAGUGAUGAAGGUCUUCGGAUCGUAAAACUCUGUUAUUAGGGAAGAACAUAUGUGUAAGUAACUGUGCACAUCUUGACGGUACCUAAUCAGAAAGCCACGGUUAACUACGUG